AUUGAACGCUGGCGGCAGGCCUAACACAUGCCAGUCGAGCGGAUGAAGGGAGCUUGCUCCUGGAUUCAGCGGCGGACGGGGGAGUAAUGCCUAGGAAUCUGCCUGGUAGUGGGGGAUAACGUCCUGAAACGGGCGCUAAUACCGCAUACGUCCUGAGGGAGAAAGUGGGGGGUCUUCGGACCGCACGCUAUCAGAGGAGCCUAGGUCGGAUUAGCUAGUUGGUGGGGUGAGGGCCUACCAAGGCGACGAUCCGUAACUGGUCGGAGAGGAUGAUCAGUCACCCUGGAACGGAGACACGGUCCAGACUACUACGGGAGGCAGCAGUGGGGAAUAUUGGACAAUGGGCGAAAGCCUGAUCCAGCCAUGCCGAGUGUGUGACGAAGGUCUUCGGAUUGUAAAGCACUUUAAGUUGGGAGGAAGGGCAGUAAGUUAAUACCUUGCUGUUUUGACGGUACCAACAGAAUAAGCACCGGCUAACUUCGUG
Molecule: ribosomal RNA, 484 nt
Filed under: uncultured bacterium
Lineage: Bacteria
Description: partial 16S ribosomal RNA
Rfam family: Bacterial small subunit ribosomal RNA
Source: RNAcentral